UCCAGGACCACUCGUGUCUGAGGGCCGGC
Molecule: small RNA, 29 nt
Filed under: Bombyx mori (domestic silkworm)
Lineage: Eukaryota; Metazoa; Arthropoda; Insecta; Lepidoptera; Bombycidae
Description: ovarian small RNA-26816
Source: RNAcentral